This 248-nucleotide long non-coding RNA is filed under the name Ananas comosus (pineapple). RNAcentral describes it as "long non-coding RNA (ACOM_LNC020836)". Lineage: Eukaryota; Viridiplantae; Streptophyta; Magnoliopsida; Poales; Bromeliaceae. The record is from RNAcentral.
CUCUGGUACAGAUUUAAUCCGGUUUAACACGAGAUGAAUUAACGGAUACCAACAGAGUUAUUUUUGAAUAUCAGAGAAAUAUACCAGGGGUAUAUUUGAAACAAAAAAAGUAGGGAUAUAUAAGAUAUUUUAGAAGUUUUGAGAGAUAUAUAGGUAAUUAUUUCUUAAUUAUAAGGUUAGAUUAAUGCAGCAGAAUCAUAUAAAAUAAAGGGAUAAUAUCUAAUAUGUCUUUGAAAAUUUAAAAAUAU